AUUACAUAACCAAAUAAAUACAAUAAUUGUCUGAAAUAAACACACAAACAAGCUGACACAAGCAAGCAUAUAAAACACAUUAGAAUCACCAAGUAGAUUAGGGUUUUAGACGGCGCCAACUGUACUUGCAGAAAAAGUAAGGUAAGGAUUCUAGGGCUAAGAAUCGUAGAUUAGGGUUCUAAACUAGGGUUUUAGACUGAAUAUCGGAUGCCUUGAGAAUGAUCUUAAGAGGUUUAUUUAUAGCCUGCUAAUGGGCUUUUUCCUGCGUGACUUAAGCUCUAAGAAAGCAGGGUUUUUAGUCUUUUUAGCUCGUUUAGGCGGUUUAGGGCGACUUCUAGAGGCUUCUAGAAGGCGAGGAGGGCGAUUCCUCAAGGAGGACGCGCCGGAUCCUCUGAGGUCCCUUCUGGAGGGCGCCUAAGCCCUUUUGGAGGGCUUUUGAGCCCUUAGGAAUAUUAUGACGGUCCACAACAAGGCGUGGUGAUGAGGGAUGUGGGAUUGGCCCUGCCAGAGGGUCAUCAAACCCAUAGGGAUAUUAUGACGGUCCACAGCCCCCCAAGCACGAGGCUUGGAACAAGGCGUGGUGAUAUUUUUGCAUGAUUCUUCGAAGAUGUCGCCCCUUAGGGCGAUGUCACUCAGAUGUCUUGUCUGAUCCAACGGUCUGUGUCGCGACUUUUGGAUUCUGAUGAAUGGUUCCCGCCCUGCGAGUUGGCACAGGACGUUGGGACCAGUGCCCUUCGCACUUUGCUCUACGUCCAGUCCAUGGAGUGUAAGUAUGAGGUCUUGGAGAGGGAGUACCAUGAUUCAGUCAAAGAUGUGGAGAAAUACAGCACAAGUCAUCUGCUCUCGAAGAAAGGGUAGAGGGUUCGCUGAAGGAUAAGGCAGAAUCUGAGCAAGCGGUGGCCGGUCUGGAGAAAGAGAAGGCUGAGUUGCAAAGUGAGAAAGUUGAAUUGGAGAGUCAAAAUUUGCAACUGAAGGGCGACUUAGAAAAAUCCCGAGCUGAAGUCGAGGACGGGAAAAUGGCUUUGGCGGGUUUUUUCGAAGACGGUUUUGAGCGGGCCAAGAUGCAAGUGUUACAUUUUUAUCCAGACCUAGACUUGUCAGGGCUGGAUUCCUUGAAGAUUAUUCAAGAUGGGGAGCUUGUCGACGAGCCUUGAUCGCCCUUUUAUUUAUAUUUUGCUGCUAUUUUAAGUUUGGAGAGGCGUGUUGUUUUGUGCCUCUAUUUUGUUUUUCCUUGAACAGUGCUUGUCUUGGCCGCCCUUUUUUGUAAUAUCUUUUACCUGCUAUUAUUUAUGCAUUGUUUUGUUUAGUUUGGCUUCUUUAUACUUCGUUAUUAAUAAGGGUAGUUCGCAAACUAUAACUAGUGACCAUGUUGAUCUUAGAUCCCGCACGGAUCUGAAAAAGAACUUAGCGUAACUCACUUUGAUUUAUUUAUUCAUCUGUCAUAUAUAUCUGAAAAAAUCCUCAGCGUAAAUUGUCUUGUUUAUUCACGAAAUUCACCCUUAAAUAAAAUUUCAUCACAAUAUACUUUUUGUUUUAGUAAUAUCGAACCAAAAGAUCAUAAUAUACUUUCUUGUUUUAUCCUGGCGACUAGAGAUAAAAGGAAGUCAUCACGGGUGGUGGAUGAGAGUGGAGUGACAUCGCCUUGGCGUGCUUAGCGAUGAAAGGUUUGAUUGACCCGCCAGACACUGAGCCUUUUAAUAAUGAUAAGUUUUGCUUGGUUCAGAGCCUUUUGUGAGGUUGAACUAUGGGUGUUCCAGAGCCUUUUACAAGGUUCAACUAUGUGGUCCAGAGCCUUUUACAAGGUUGGACUAAUGGUGGUUCAGAGCCUUUUACAAGGUUGAACUAUUUUGGUUCAGAGCCUUUUACAAGGUUGAACUAUGUGGUCCAGAGCCUUUUACAAGGUUGGACUAAUGGUGGUUCAGAGCCUUUUACAAGGUUGAACUAUUUCUUGGGCGAUUUAUGGUCUUCAUGACGUCGAGUCAGAGCCUUGAAAAAGGUUGACCCAAUUUGGGCGUCCUUGAUCUUUUCCAAAUGCUUCUUUGUGGAAUCUGCAACACAAGUCUCAAAGGUUGAGAAAGGUUAGAAACAAUUGUGUUUUAUCUUCAAGCUUUUAACGGCGGGGCCGUUGUUCCUAUAUUUCAUUUUGGUGCAUUGUUUGGCGAGUUCUCCCUUUUGUUUAAUCCCGCCCUUGCCGGGCUAGUUCGCUUUCCAAAUUUAUUCAUCUGAAAUAUAAUAAUUUUUUCAUACUUCCAAAGUAAUCAGUAUUAUAAAGGAGCCUUUAAUCAUUUAUAAGAAAUAACUACUCUCUAUCUAUACGUCGCCCAUAUUUUCUACUCUCUUUCCUAUCUUAUUCAUUCUCUUGCUAAUUUAUUUGAUAACCUUGUGUUUUUAAUCCUUAUCUAUUAGAUUGGAAACUAAGUCUUCUCGCUACUUUCUUAUUAGAUUUAAAACUAGUUCGCCCACUUCUCUCAUUUUAUUUUAUACUCCUUCUCUUAUUCCCACUACCUUGAAUUCUAAUUUGACUGGUACUUUCUCCUAUGAAGUUAAGUCUUCUGCUCAAUUUACUCUUCUACGUGGGUCUAGCGCUAUUAUUCUAUUAUUUCUAUUUCUACUAGGCAGUAAGUUCAGUUUGCAAAGUAAAUGGUACAUGGAAGGGGUUCCCAGGAAAGAGAGGUGGGUCAUUUAGACCUCUUAAAUAUCAAGGCUUUCCUUGCCAGAAUUCCUCACAUGUGACCUUUUAACAAUAUUAUACUUUACUUCUGCCACGGGGUAUCUAGAGUAGUCUUUCUUUGUUAUCUUGAUCCUACCUUUUGAGUUUUACUUAUCUCUCUCUUUUUAUUAUAACGUCACUAAAUUGCACAAUCAGAAUUAAUAGCAAGUGAAGUAAACUAAGUUAAAGCUAAUUUGUCUAUAAGACUUAUUAUCCACAUAUGAUGUAUAUGCACCAACAAAAUAAUUGCAAAAUAAACAAAAUUGAUGAGACUUCGAAAUUAAGGUUGUAAAAUAUAUUUUUUCAAAAUAUAUUGAUCAUAAAAUUUUCUUCAAAUCUAAAAGUGUAAAUAUAUUUUCUCAAAAUAUAUUGAUCAUAAAAUUUUCUUCAAAUCUAAAAGUGUAAAUAUAUUCUCUCAAAAUAUAUUGAUCAUAAAAUUUUCUUCUAAUCUAAAAGUAUGAAUAUAUUUUCUCAAAAUAUAUUAGGCAAUAAAUUUUCUUUCAAAUAAUAAAAUAUAUUUUUUCAAAAAAUAUAGAACCUGAUAUUCCUUUGAAAGAGAAUUUCUUCAGGGUGGGAGAAUUGCUUCGAGAGAGUAUGUCUUGUAGCAAGAGCAAGACAUAUACCUCCAAGAGUUUAUUCAAGAGCAAGACUAAUACCUCCAAGAGUGUUUCACUACCUCAUUCAGAAUCUUCAGAACGGCCUUGUAGCAAACUUUGUUAACGAGCAACACCAUAACUUGCAAACUUUGUUGUGAGGCUCGCGCUGAUAUUCGAUCGCCUCAUCUGUCUUGGUCUUCAGCUUCCUGAUUUUGAGGCGAUGUAUGCACUUCCCAACAUAGAAUUGGCAGGUAUUGAAAAUUGAUGUAAUCGUUCAACAAACACAAAAGAAUAGUUAACGAUAAUAUAGAAAUAAGCUUUAAUGAUGAAGUAUAGCCAUUGAUGUAUUUCUCAAAAGACUAGCCAUCAAUAAUUAGAAACAGCUUUAAUAAUAUAUUCGUAUGAACAAAGUCAUCAUUGAAAACCCAAUAGCAUAAAAAUAAAUAGGUUGUACUGGACGCUUAGGCAAGCAAGGCAUCAUUGAGGAAAAUAAAUUAUAAAGAACAGAAUCGGAAAAGAUACGCCCAUGAUGCUCGGCUAUUCUGAUGUAACAAAACAACAAUAUCCAUGGCGACUUUGACAAAGAUAAAUUAACGCCAUAAACCUAUGGGAUCUAAGAUGAACUCUUUAAAUCUAAAUUUGAUGACCACAUCAUAUCCACUGAAAUUAUUAGGCCUAAAUUCCUUACAUGAAUAUGCGCUUAAUAAAAACUGAGGCAACCAUACAACACAUCUAGUAUUAAUAUAUUAUGUAUAUAUAACAAACUAAGUCAAGUGCAUCAGCUUAAUCUAGCAAUACUUUCAAGAAUCAUCUAUUUGCUUAAUAAAUACAAGUGCCACACGUCCGAUUACGAAACAUUAGUGAUUAUCAAAGGUGGAUCGAUUUCAGUACCAUUCACUUUUAUUGAAUUUUUGUUUGAAUAAACAAAUAGUUGAUUGGCCGCAAGCAAUUCAAUCGUAACUCCUACUCUCUCACAAAACUACAAAAGUUCAGGUUAAAAUACAAAGUGCUUCUUUCUCAUCAAUCGUUGCAUGUGCUAAUUGCGGGUAAUUAUUAUGAGUUUGGUUGUCACAUGCGAUUGCGAUAAGAAAAACAUACAUGCGAAUAUCAACAAAAGGAUAUACAAGAAUCAUAGAGAUAACACGACACGUAUUGAGUUAAUUCAAAAAACAAACAGUAAUAUGCUAUCAAAACACGUAAAACAUACUGGAAAAAAAAAGGUAAUUGUGGCGGCGCGCAGCAGAAAUUUGGUUGCGUAUCAAACAAACAAUAAGAAAGGUGAUUAAGAAAUCGUUCCCAACCAGGGAGGAGCUAUUCUGGAAACGGUAUUCUUUACGGAUCGUUGUCAAAGAGGUCUGAAGGCAUCCACUCCGUUGCUUCAGCUGUUCUAUUUUGUAGAUUCAUAGUUGCUAUAACAUCACGAUCAAAGGCUGUUGUGAUCUUCCCCGGCCAUUCUCUCGAGACCCCCCCCCCCCCCCCGGAUGAUUUUUAGGUUUAUGAGUGUGGUCUAGGUUAGUUUUACCGUUUCCCACAGACGGCGCCAACUGUACUUGCAGAAAAAGUACGGUAAGGAUUCUAGGGCUAAGAAUCGUAGAUUAGGGUUCUAAACUAGGGUUUUAGACUGAAUAUUGGAUCCCUUGAGAAUGAUCUCAAGAGGUUUAUUUAUAGCCUGCUAAUGGGCUUUUUCGCGUGACUUAAGCUCUAAGAAAGCAGGGUUUUUAGUCUUUUUAGCUCGUUUAGGCGGUUUAGGGCAACUUCUAGAGGCUUCUAGAAGGCGAGGAGGGCGAUUCCUCAAGGAGGACGCGCCGGAUCCUCUGAGGUCCCUUCUGGAGGGCGCCUAAGCCCUUUUGGAGGGCUUUUGAGCCCUUAGGAAUAUUAUGACGGUCCACAGCCCCCAAACACGAGGGUUGGAACAAGGCGUGGUGAUGAGGGAUGUGGGAUUGGCCCUGCCAGAGGGUCAUCAAACCCAUAG
This 5278-nucleotide long non-coding RNA is filed under the name Medicago truncatula (barrel medic). RNAcentral's name for it is "long non-coding RNA (MTRU_LNC004605)". The record is from RNAcentral. Lineage: Eukaryota; Viridiplantae; Streptophyta; Magnoliopsida; Fabales; Fabaceae.